Molecule: long non-coding RNA, 567 nt
Filed under: Carassius auratus (goldfish)
Lineage: Eukaryota; Metazoa; Chordata; Actinopteri; Cypriniformes; Cyprinidae
Description: lncRNA (ENSCARG00000054731.1)
Source: RNAcentral
AUGGCUCGUUUGCGUAUGCCUGUGCGAGGCCCCUCCGCCCGUGGCACUGAGCCAAUCAGCUCAAAGGAAGCCGAUGACAUCAUGUACAGGGAUGCAUUUAUGCCUCUUGCUAGAACAAGGAAUUCUAGGAACAGAGAUGUUGAGGGGGGACGAGGAUCUGUGCUUCUGUCAGAAAGUGAAUUUAUUGAUCAGAAUGGAAAUGCUUUCCCAGUUCCUCCAGACGUUGAGAGGAAAUCUGCUAAACAGUCUGCACGAGAGCGACGCAGACUAGCAAACCUGCAGUCUGCAGAGAACAAGGCAGUGCAGCUGCAGCCGCAGCCCUUCAAUAUAAGGAAGCUCAGAGACACAAACACUCCCAGGAAGAAGGGACUACAAGCCUUCAGCCAUCACAACACCACAGCAGGAGGCUGCUUGGAUGAUGAUGAGGAAGCAAAUCGUGGUGAUGGGCAUUUUACCCUGCAGUCUCCUGGCAGGCCCAGCUCUAUUGAUACAGCCACUACAGAGCCCUGGAUUCGAGCGGAGUCAUCAGACACACUUAGGAGGCUAAUGUCCGCCUCUGAACUUUAA